Molecule: ribosomal RNA, 253 nt
Filed under: uncultured bacterium
Lineage: Bacteria
Description: partial 16S ribosomal RNA
Rfam family: Bacterial small subunit ribosomal RNA
Source: RNAcentral
UACGAAGGGGGCUAGCGUUGCUCGGAAUCACUGGGCGUAAAGCGCACGUAGGCGGGUUCUUAAGUCGGAGGUGAAAUCCUGGAGCUCAACUCCAGAACUGCCUUCGAUACUGAGAAUCUCGAGUUCGGGAGAGGUGAGUGGAACUGCGAGUGUAGAGGUGAAAUUCGUAGAUAUUCGCAAGAACACCAGUGGCGAAGGCGGCUCACUGGCCCGAUACUGACGCUGAGGUGCGAAAGCGUGGGGAGCAAACAGG